This 959-nucleotide ribosomal RNA is filed under the name Corallococcus exiguus. RNAcentral's name for it is "bacterial SSU rRNA". It matches the Rfam family "Bacterial small subunit ribosomal RNA", at positions 62 to 1001 of the family's 1533-position model. Lineage: Bacteria; Pseudomonadati; Myxococcota; Myxococcia; Myxococcales; Myxococcaceae. The record is from RNAcentral.
UCGAGCGCGAAUGGGGAAACCCUAGUAGAGCGGCGCACGGGUGCGUAACACGUGGAUAAUCUGCCUGGAUGCCUGGGAUAACCAGUCGAAAGAUUGGCUAAUACCGGAUAAGCCCACGGUCUCUUCGGAGACUGAGGGAAAAGGUGGCCUCUGUAUACAAGCUAUCACAACCAGAUGAGUCCGCGGCCCAUCAGCUAGUUGGCGGGGUAAUGGCCCACCAAGGCAACGACGGGUAGCUGGUCUGAGAGGACGAUCAGCCACACUGGAACUGAGACACGGUCCAGACUCCUACGGGAGGCAGCAGUGGGGAAUUUUGCGCAAUGGGCGAAAGCCUGACGCAGCAACGCCGCGUGUGUGAUGAAGGUCUUUGGAUUGUAAAGCACUUUCGACCGGGACGAAACCGUAAAGCCUAAUACGCUUUGCCUUGACGGUACCGGGAGAAGAAGCACCGGCUAACUCUGUGCCAGCAGCCGCGGUAAUACAGAGGGUGCAAGCGUUGUUCGGAAUUAUUGGGCGUAAAGCGCGUGUAGGCGGCUUUGCAAGUCGGGUGUGAAAGCCCUCAGCUCAACUGAGGAAGUGCGCCCGAAACUGCAGAGCUUGAGUGCCGGAGAGGGUGGCGGAAUUCCCCAAGUAGAGGUGAAAUUCGUAGAUAUGGGGAGGAACACCGGUGGCGAAGGCGGCCACCUGGACGGUAACUGACGCUGAGACGCGAAAGCGUGGGUAGCAAACAGGAUUAGAUACCCUGGUAGUCCACGCCGUAAACGAUGAGAACUAGGUGUCGUGGGAGUUGACCCCCGCGGUGCCGUAGCUAACGCAUUAGGUUCUCCGCCUGGGAAGUACGGUCGCAAAGACUAAAACUCAAGGGAAUUGACGGGGGCCCGCACAAGCGGUGGAGCAUGUGGGUUAAUUCGACGCAACGCGCAGAACUUUACCUGGUCUUGACAUCCUCGGAAUCCUUC